ACAAUUAGCUGUUGGGACACUAGAUGUCUUAGUAGCGAAGCUAACGCGUGAAAUUGUCCGCCUGGGGAGUACGGUCGCAAGAUUAAAACUCAAAGGAAUUGACGGGGACCCGCACAAGCGGUGGAUGAUGUGGAUUAAUUCGAUGCAACGCGAAGAACCUUACCUGGUCUUGACAUGUACGGAAUCUCUUAGAGAUAGGAGAGUGCCUUCGGGAACCGUAACACAGGUGCUGCAUGGCUGUCGUCAGCUCGUGUCGUGAGAUGUUGGGUUAAGUCCCGCAACGAGCGCAACCCUUGUCAUUAGUUGCCAUCAUUAAGUUGGGCACUCUAGUGAGACUGCCGGUGACAAACCGGAGGAAGGUGGGGAUGACGUCAAGUCCUCAUGGCCCUUAUGACCAGGGCUUCACACGUCAUACAAUGGUCGGUACAGAGGGUAGCGAAGCCGCGAGGUGAAGCCAAUCUCAGAAAGCCGGUCGUAGUCCGGAUUGCACUCUGCAACUCGAGUGCAUGAAGUCGGAAUCGCUAGUAAUCGCAGGUCAGCAUACUGCG
Molecule: ribosomal RNA, 548 nt
Filed under: uncultured Neisseriaceae bacterium
Lineage: Bacteria; Pseudomonadati; Pseudomonadota; Betaproteobacteria; Neisseriales; Neisseriaceae
Description: bacterial SSU rRNA
Rfam family: Bacterial small subunit ribosomal RNA
Source: RNAcentral